CCUACGGGUGGCAGCAGUCGAGAAUCAUUCACAAUGGGGGAAACCCUGAUGGUGCGACGCCGCGUGGGGGAAUGAAGGUCUUCGGAUUGUAAACCCCUGUCAUGUGGGAGCAAAUUAAAAAGAUAGUACCACAAGAGGAAGAGACGGCUAACUCUGUGCCAGCAGCCGCGGUAAUACAGAGGUCUCAAGCGUUGUUCGGAAUCACUGGGCGUAAAGCGUGCGUAGGCUGUUUCGUAAGUCGUGUGUGAAAGGCGCGGGCUCAACCCGCGGACGGCACAUGAUACUGCGAGACUAGAGUAAGGGAGGGGGAACCGGAAUUCGCGGUGUAGCAGUGAAAUGCGUAGAUAUCGAGAGGAAUACUCGUGGCGAAGGCGGGUUCCUGGACAUUAACUGACGCUGAGGCACGAAGGCCAGGGGAGCGAAAGGGAUUAGAUACCCUGGUAGUC
RNAcentral lists this ribosomal RNA (446 nucleotides) under uncultured bacterium. Its description in RNAcentral is "partial 16S ribosomal RNA". It matches the Rfam family "Bacterial small subunit ribosomal RNA", at positions 338 to 795 of the family's 1533-position model. The record is from RNAcentral.